CAUUUAAUUGCAAAUAACGCUCAUAUAAUCGUGGGAAUAUGGCCCACAAGUUUCUACCAAAUAACCGUAAAUUAUUUGACUAUGAGUGAGGUUAAAUGUUUC
RNAcentral lists this non-coding RNA (102 nucleotides) under Metabacillus litoralis. Its description in RNAcentral is "Bacillus litoralis Guanine sequence". It matches the Rfam family "Purine riboswitch aptamer". Rfam says of the family: Riboswitches are metabolite binding domains within certain messenger RNAs that serve as precision sensors for their corresponding targets. Lineage: Bacteria; Bacillati; Bacillota; Bacilli; Caryophanales; Bacillaceae. The record is from Rfam by way of RNAcentral.